GGCCCGCACAAGCGGUGGAGCAUGUGGUUUAAUUCGAUGCAACGCGAAGAACCUUACCUGGUCUUGACAUAGUAAGAACUUUCCAGAGAUGGAUUGGUGCCUUCGGGAACUUACAUACAGGUGCUACAUGGCCGUCGUCAGCUCGUGUCGUGAGAUGUUGGGUUAAGUCCCGCAACGAGCGCAACCCUUUUCCUUAUUUGCCAGCACUUUGGGUGGGAACUUUAAGGAUACUGCCAGUGACAAACUGGAGGAAGGCGGGGACGACGUCAAGUCAUCAUGGCCCUUACGACCAGGGCUACACACGUGCUACAAUGGUCGGUACAAAGGGUUGCUACCUAGCGAUAGGAUGCUAAUCUCAAAAAGCCGAUCGUAGUCCGGAUUGGAGUCUGCAACUCGACUCCAUGAAGUCGGAAUCGCUAGUAAUCGUAGAUCAGAAUGCUACGGUGAAUACGUUCCCGGGCCUUGUACACACCGCCCGUCACACCAUGGGAGUGGGUUGCAAAAGAAGUAGGUAGCUUAACCUUCGGGAGGGCGCUUACCACUUUGUGAUUCAUGA
Molecule: ribosomal RNA, 556 nt
Filed under: uncultured bacterium
Lineage: Bacteria
Description: bacterial SSU rRNA
Rfam family: Bacterial small subunit ribosomal RNA
Source: RNAcentral